This is a non-coding RNA of Anolis sagrei ordinatus, 235 nucleotides long. The record is from RefSeq and is a predicted model, not a curated record. NCBI's taxonomy places the organism in Eukaryota, Metazoa, Chordata, Lepidosauria, Squamata, Anolidae.
GUACCACGGGAAGUUUCCUCAGGCCUCUUACAUGCCACCAAGACAUCUCGUACAGGAAAAUCUGUGGAAGUGCAGCUGAACAGUUCUACCCCAACCAGUGCCACCUGAAAAACUGCUGUUAUAGCAACCUUACCUGCUACCACCAUGCUAUUGAUGGUCCCCUACAACGUCGGAAUGCCGGGAUCAUUGCUGGACUCGCUGUCGCCAUUGUCAUCUUCAGUACGUUCAUCUUCUU